This 735-nucleotide ribosomal RNA is filed under the name uncultured Fusobacterium sp. RNAcentral's name for it is "bacterial SSU rRNA". It matches the Rfam family "Bacterial small subunit ribosomal RNA", at positions 28 to 776 of the family's 1533-position model. Lineage: Bacteria; Fusobacteriati; Fusobacteriota; Fusobacteriia; Fusobacteriales; Fusobacteriaceae. The record is from RNAcentral.
GAUGAACGCUGACAGAAUGCUUAACACAUGCAAGUCAACUUGAAUUUGGGUUUUUAACUUAGAUUUGGGUGGCGGACGGGUGAGUAACGCGUAAAGAACUUGCCGCACAGCUAGGGACAACAUUUAGAAAUGAAUGCUAAUACCUGAUAUUAUGAUUUUAAGGCAUCUUAGAAUUAUGAAAGCUAUAAGCACUGUGAGAGAGCUUUGCGUCCCAUUAGCUAGUUGGAGAGGUAACAGCUCACCAAGGCGAUGAUGGGUAGCCGGCCUGAGAGGGUGAACGGCCACAAGGGGACUGAGACACGGCCCUUACUCCUACGGGAGGCAGCAGUGGGGAAUAUUGGACAAUGGACCGAGAGUCUGAUCCAGCAAUUCUGUGUGCACGAUGAAGUUUUUCGGAAUGUAAAGUGCUUUCAGUUGGGAAGAAAGAAAUGACGGUACCAACAGAAGAAGUGACGGCUAAAUACGUGCCAGCAGCCGCGGUAAUACGUAUGUCACAAGCGUUAUCCGGAUUUAUUGGGCGUAAAGCGCGUCUAGGUGGUUAUGUAAGUCUGAUGUGAAAAUGCAGGGCUCAACUCUGUAUUGCGUUGGAAACUGUAUAACUAGAGUACUGGAGAGGUAAGCGGAACUACAAGUGUAGAGGUGAAAUUCGUAGAUAUUUGUAGGAAUGCCGAUGGGGAAGCCAGCUUACUGGACAGAUACUGACGCUAAAGCGCGAAAGCGUGGGUAGCAAACAGG